This 137-nucleotide ribosomal RNA is filed under the name Flustrellidra hispida. RNAcentral's name for it is "partial 18S ribosomal RNA". Lineage: Eukaryota; Metazoa; Bryozoa; Gymnolaemata; Ctenostomatida; Flustrellidridae. The record is from RNAcentral.
ACUGUCGGCAUGAGCGUGACACCGCGCCGAAAAGCGCGGCAACCUGUUGAACGGCUAAGCAGUUGAACCCAUGUGCUAGGGAUCGGGGCUGGCAAUUGUUCCCGGUGAAUGAGGAAUUCCUUGCAGAGGCGCGUCAU